CAUGACGCUGGCGGCAGGCCUAACACAUGCAAGUCGAGCGGUAACAGAGAGUAGCUUGCUACUUUGCUGACGAGCGGCGGACGGGUGAGUAAUGCUUGGGAACAUGCCUUGAGGUGGGGGACAACAGUUGGAAACGACUGCUAAUACCGCAUAAUGUCUACGGACCAAAGGGGGCUUCGGCUCUCGCCUUUAGAUUGGCCCAAGUGGGAUUAGCUAGUUGGUGAGGUAAUGGCUCACCAAGGCGACGAUCCCUAGCUGGUUUGAGAGGAUGAUCAGCCACACUGGGACUGAGACACGGCCCAGACUCCUACGGGAGGCAGCAGUGGGGAAUAUUGCACAAUGGGCGCAAGCCUGAUGCAGCCAUGCCGCGUGUGUGAAGAAGGCCUUCGGGUUGUAAAGCACUUUCAGUCAGGAGGAAAGGUUAGUAGUUAAUACCUGCUAGCUGUGACGUUACUGACAGAAGAAGCACCGGCUAACUCCGUGCCAGCAGCCGCGGUAAUACAGUANG
RNAcentral lists this ribosomal RNA (508 nucleotides) under Pseudoalteromonas agarivorans. RNAcentral describes it as "bacterial SSU rRNA". It matches the Rfam family "Bacterial small subunit ribosomal RNA", at positions 33 to 531 of the family's 1533-position model. The record is from RNAcentral. Lineage: Bacteria; Pseudomonadati; Pseudomonadota; Gammaproteobacteria; Alteromonadales; Pseudoalteromonadaceae.